This is a long non-coding RNA of Vespa mandarinia (Asian giant hornet), 1369 nucleotides long. NCBI's taxonomy places the organism in Eukaryota, Metazoa, Arthropoda, Insecta, Hymenoptera, Vespidae. The record is from RefSeq and is a predicted model, not a curated record.
ACAUAUUCUCUAUUUUAAUGAAGAAUUAAUUAACAAUCGGUUUAUAAAACGAUGUUCAGUUAUAGCAUUUUUUGUGAAAGUAAGAGGAGGCGACAAGGAGGAGAUAAUUCAUUUUUGGAUCCCCUACUAUUUCCUUCUCGCCUAAUCGAAUAAGAAUUUUCUUACGUAAGCACUGAUCACGUGAGUAUAGUCCGUACUGCGUAUAAAUAUCCCUCGUUGUCAUCUUCCGUUCUCACUUUCCAUUACGACACGAGGAUAGUAAGAGUUGUACUAUGUAAGCGAAGUGUUUGUAAAUCACAAAAAUUAUUGUUACAAUCAUUAAACUACUUUUAUUUUAAUUAAAUUAUUUCUAUAGCUUUCAAUAGCUGCAAAUCAUUAUAAAAUUCACUGCAAUAUUAACUAUUAUUACAAUAAUACUAGUUGAAUUAUUCUAUAAUAUAUUACAAUAUAUUUUAAAUAAAUUACACCAAUAUAAUACGAUCAAGAGUAUACCGGUUCCGAAACCAUACCCAAUAAUUGGAAAUGCUCAUUUGUUUCUUGGCGAUAACGAAGAUAUAACAGCUCAACUUUCAAACUUAUAGAUAUAAUAUUCCAAUAUUUCAUAAAUAUUGAAAUUAUGAAUCAUUGUGGCGUAUAUGGCUAGGAACGAAAUUACUUGUAAUCGUACAUAAUCCGGAAUAUAACAAAAAGGUAUUAAAUAAUCCAAAUAUUAAUGAGAAGAGCGAGGAGUAUAAAUAUAUGAAAUCGAUUAUCGGCAGUGGAUUGUUUUCUGCUUUAGCAAAAUUGUAGAAUUAUCAUAGAAAAAUAUUAAAUGAAGUCUUUCUUAAAAAAUAUCUAAUGUUCCAUAUGGAUGUAUUCGUUAAUCAUUUUGUCGCUUUAAUGGAAAAAUUGGAAACUUUAGUUGGAGAAGAAAUAGACGUUUGCCAUUACGCCUUUCGUUGUACAUUGGACAUAAUAUAUGUUUGAUGGAUAUAGCUGCGCGAAGGAUAUUCAAAACAUGGUUACAUCCGAAUAUAAUUUUUUGUAAUACUGCUAUGGAAAUUUCAAACAUGUUCAUCCUACCUGAAUAACGUUACAAGAAAUGUAUAUUUAAAAGAAAUAUUUCGUUAAUCCAUCUUAUUUCUUUUUAACAAUUUAAAAUUUAAGUAUUAUAUUGUCUUUAUUAGUAUAUAUCAUUUUUUGUUUGGAAAGACAAUCAAAGAAAAAAAGUAAUCUAGGUUAAGAAUCGUAAUUAAACAAAAUUUGGUUAGGUCUUACUUUGUUAUAUUCCGGAUUAUGUACGAUUACAAGUAAUUUCGUUCCUAGCCAUAUACGCCACAAUGAUUCAUAAUUUCAAUAUUUAUGAAAUAUUGGAAUAUUAUAUCUAUAA